Molecule: non-coding RNA, 372 nt
Organism: Pelobates cultripes (western spadefoot toad)
Lineage: Eukaryota; Metazoa; Chordata; Amphibia; Anura; Pelobatidae
Source: the annotation of a GenBank genome assembly
UUUAAGGCCAGAAAAUGCAUAAUCAAAUGUGACAUAAUAGGACGCACUAAAACUGCACAUAACCACAUUUACUUUCAAAAUCUUGAUACACAAGCAUUAGGUACACGUAUGCUGUAGGAUUCUGGAACCUUUCGCAAUCAGAAAAAUACUUUGAGCAAUUCCCAAAGUUUAUUUUCUACUGUGUGGUUCUAUUAGUACUCAGGAACAUAAUCAUUUAUGUUGUCUUGAUUUACAGAGCAAUUAGACAGGUUAAUGUUAUUGUGAUUGGACAUACUAAGUCUUGAACAAAAUAAAUGCAGUUUAUAAUUGCAUAAGUAUUAAAUUGUAUAUUUCAAGGAAUUCUUUGGACCCAAGACAUAAAACACCAAUUCC